RNAcentral lists this ribosomal RNA (1101 nucleotides) under Sarocladium sp. RNAcentral describes it as "SSU rRNA". It matches the Rfam family "Eukaryotic small subunit ribosomal RNA", at positions 114 to 1226 of the family's 1831-position model. The record is from RNAcentral. Lineage: Eukaryota; Fungi; Ascomycota; Sordariomycetes; Hypocreales; Sarocladiaceae.
CGUUUAUUUGAUAGUGCCUUACUACUUGGAUAACCGUGGUAAUUCUAGAGCUAAUACAUGCUAAAAACCCCGACUUCGGAAGGGGUGUAUUUAUUAGAUACAAAACCAAUGCCCUUCGGGGCUCUUUGGUGAUUCAUGAUAACUAUACGAAUCGCACGGCCUUGCGCCGGCGAUGGUUCAUUCAAAUUUCUUCCCUAUCAACUUUCGAUGUUUGGGUAUUGGCCAAACAUGGUUGCAACGGGUAACGGAGGGUUAGGGCUCGACCCCGGAGAAGGAGCCUGAGAAACGGCUACUACAUCCAAGGAAGGCAGCAGGCGCGCAAAUUACCCAAUCCCGACUCGGGGAGGUAGUGACAAUAAAUACUGAUACAGGGCCCUUUCGGGCCUUGUAAUUGGAAUGAGUACAAUUUAAAUCCCUUAACGAGGAACAAUUGGAGGGCAAGUCUGGUGCCAGCAGCCGCGGUAAUUCCAGCUCCAAUAGCGUAUAUUAAAGUUGUUGUGGUUAAAAAGCUCGUAGUUGAACCUUGGGCCUGGCUGGCCGGUCCGCCUCACCGCGUGCACUGGUCCGGCCGGGCCUUUCCCUCUGUGGAACCCCAUACCCUUCACUGGGCGUGGCGGGGAAACAGGACAUUUACUUUGAAAAAAUUAGAGUGCUCCAGGCAGGCCUAUGCUCGAAUACAUUAGCAUGGAAUAAUAAAAUAGGACGCGCGGUUCUAUUUUGUUGGUUUAUAGGACCGCCGUAAUGAUUAAUAGGGACAGUCGGGGGCAUCAGUAUUCAACUGUCAGAGGUGAAAUUCUUGGAUCAGUUGAAGACUAACUACUGCGAAAGCAUUUGCCAAGGAUGUUUUCAUUAAUCAGGAACGAAAGUUAGGGGAUCGAAGACGAUCAGAUACCGUCGUAGUCUUAACCAUAAACUAUGCCGACUAGGGAUCGGACGGUGUUAUUCAUGACCCGUUCGGCACCUUACGAGAAAUCAAAGUGCUUGGGCUCCAGGGGGAGUAUGGUCGCAAGGCUGAAACUUAAAGAAAUUGACGGAAGGGCACCACCAGGGGUGGAGCCUGCGGCUUAAUUUGACUCAACACGGGGAAACUCACCAGGUCCA